CAGUAGCCGCGGGAAUACGGAGGGUGCAAGCGUUAAUCGGAAUUACUGGGCGUAAAGCGCACGCAGGCGGUCUGACAAGUCAGAUGUGAAAUCCCCGGGCUUAACCUGGGAACUGCAUUUGAAACUGUCAGGCUGGAGUCUUGUAGAGGGGGGUAGAAUUCCAGGUGUAGCGGUGAAAUGCGUAGAGAUCUGGAGGAAUACCGGUGGCGAAGGCGGCCCCCUGGACAAAGACUGACGCUCAGGUGCGAAAGCGUGGGGAGCAAACAGGAUUAGAGACCCCUGUAGUCCCUGUCUCUUAUAC
This 301-nucleotide ribosomal RNA is filed under the name uncultured bacterium. RNAcentral's name for it is "partial 16S ribosomal RNA". It matches the Rfam family "Bacterial small subunit ribosomal RNA", at positions 509 to 807 of the family's 1533-position model. The record is from RNAcentral.